Non-coding RNA from Apodospora peruviana, 86 nucleotides. The record is from the annotation of a GenBank genome assembly. NCBI's taxonomy places the organism in Eukaryota, Fungi, Ascomycota, Sordariomycetes, Sordariales, Lasiosphaeriaceae.
GCGUCAAUGGUCUAGUGGUUAGGAUUCAACCCUUCCAUCAAGGAAGAGCCAAGGUUGAGGGGGGGGUUCGAUUCCCUCUUGACGCA